AUCCGGAAGGUACCAGAAUUGGUGAUCCUCAUGCCAACUUAGUACUCAUUUUCCUGUUAACUUAGGAAAAAUGAAUAAAGUGCNUUUUGGCGGACAUUGGGGGGUCGUGAAGACUCUAUCAGUGAGUAUUUGUUCUCGGAAGGACUAGAUAUGAAUAUUGAAUAAUCAGACAUAGUACGAUAAGGUUGUAUGUCUAAAGGGAAACAGCCCAGAACAAGAGUUAAUAAGGUUCCAAAAUUAUUGUUAAGUGAAAUUAAGGCAGUAUUUAUCCAAAACGGCCAGGGAAUAGGCUUAGAAGCGGCCAUUUUCUGAAGACCUCGUAACAGAGCACUGGUUUUGUUUUAAUGAUAAUAAGGAUAAAAGCACCGAAAAUUUAACGGAUCUAAACAAUAUACCGAGACCUUGUCCAAAUAUAUUAAUGUAUCUAAAUUUUACAUUGUAUAUUAGGGGUAGCGGAACAUUGGGGAAGUUUCUUAUUAUGCCUUUAUAAGGCAUAAAAUAUUUAACAACCCAAGCGAUAAUGCUGACAUGAGUAACGAUAAAGGGGAAUACCCUCGCCUAAAGCUUAUGGAAUUUAAUUAAAGUUACGGCCUCUAAGUUUAUUAUAUAUUUAAUGAAUAAUCUGUUAUUUAUUAAUAAUCCCAAAAGGGGUAAACGAUGAGCAAAUCUAAGAUUUAUAGAAAAUAUCAUUUCUACAUAGUGACAAAUGAUCUGGAAAACUGUAUAUCUCGUUUGCUAUAUAGGAAUAAACUAAAACAGAUGAUAUAUUUAGCAGAUGCUUUACCGUACCUAAAUACUACCACAAGUAA
RNAcentral lists this ribosomal RNA (809 nucleotides) under Hypogymnia physodes. RNAcentral describes it as "partial large subunit ribosomal RNA". The stretch from base 1 to 528 matches the Rfam family "Bacterial large subunit ribosomal RNA", at positions 893 to 1301 of the family's 2925-position model. Lineage: Eukaryota; Fungi; Ascomycota; Lecanoromycetes; Lecanorales; Parmeliaceae. The record is from RNAcentral.